GGGGUUGUAGCUCAGUGGUAGAGUAUUUACCUCUCAUGUGUAAGGCACUGGGUUUGAUUCCCAGCACCACA
This 71-nucleotide transfer RNA is filed under the name Marmota monax (woodchuck). Its description in RNAcentral is "tRNA.Glu". It matches the Rfam family "tRNA". From Rfam's summary of the family: Transfer RNA (tRNA) molecules are approximately 80 nucleotides in length. Their secondary structure includes four short double-helical elements and three loops (D, anti-codon, and T loops). The record is from RNAcentral. Lineage: Eukaryota; Metazoa; Chordata; Mammalia; Rodentia; Sciuridae.